Long non-coding RNA from Dendroctonus ponderosae (mountain pine beetle), 743 nucleotides. RefSeq lists it as uncharacterized. NCBI's taxonomy places the organism in Eukaryota, Metazoa, Arthropoda, Insecta, Coleoptera, Curculionidae. The transcript is spliced from 2 exons. The record is from RefSeq and is a predicted model, not a curated record.
AACUAAUAAGGAUUUAAUGAACCAUUUGAGAUUAAUUCAUUCAAUGAAGUUUGAAAUUGAGAGCCAUGUCAUGGGAAAUAUAAAUGAUUUUGAGAGCUGGAAAUCCAAUAUUGAAUAUGUUAACAAAUGCUCCUAUGUUUUCAAAAGUAGACAUGCAAGUACUGUUGGCGAAAUAGCGAAAUAGGAGUAAAAUAAGUAUGAUAUUAGGUUUAUCUAUCACCGCGAAAUGAUUCAUUUAAUUAUUUGUUUUAUGUGCUGAAUUAAUUUUAUGUACUGUGUUGAUUGUAGGUCAUGUUCUUAAAUCCAAUGAUCAAAGAAGUAGAUUGUUAAAUAGUGUUGGAUCAUGUAAGAUGAGUAGUGCUUGUACUAGUGGAAUCAAAGUGAUUAAAGAAAAUAACAAAGUUGUCGUACGAUGGCAAAAAAUCCAUUAUGGUCAUAAGGUUGAGAUACAACACAUUAGAUUGCCGGAGAGUGUAAAAUUACCGAAAAAUGUUAUUUUAAUUUUUGCGAUUAUAUUCUUGUAAUUAUUAUUUAACUAACGAAAUAUUAAACCAAACCCCUUAUUUUAGAAUCUACACGAGAUGAUAUUGGGGCGAAUUUAAAACGAAUAGAUUUGUUGACAUCUAAAGACAUACGAAACAUAAAAAGCAGUAUGGCAUACUGUUUAGAGGAGAUUCUAUCAUUAACACUAAUAUGCAUUUGGAAUCUAUGCACAAAACUAUAAAAUAUUUUUACUUGGAUAG